UACGAAGGGGGCUAGCGUUGUUCGGAUUCACUGGGCGUAAAGGGUGCGCAGACGGCCGGGUGUGUGGGGCGUGAAAGCCUGGGGCUUAACUCCAGAAUUGCGCCUCAAACUACACGGCUAGAGCAUUGGAGAGGGUAGCGGAAUUCACGGUGUAGCAGUGAAAUGCGUAGAUAUCGUGAGGAACACCAGAGGCGAAGGCGGCUACCUGGACAAUUGCUGACGCUCAGGCACGAAAGCGUGGGGAGCAAAAGGG
RNAcentral lists this ribosomal RNA (253 nucleotides) under uncultured bacterium. RNAcentral describes it as "partial 16S ribosomal RNA". It matches the Rfam family "Bacterial small subunit ribosomal RNA", at positions 524 to 776 of the family's 1533-position model. The record is from RNAcentral.